This 371-nucleotide ribosomal RNA is filed under the name Escherichia coli. Its description in RNAcentral is "partial 23S ribosomal RNA". It matches the Rfam family "Bacterial large subunit ribosomal RNA", at positions 1518 to 1869 of the family's 2925-position model. The record is from RNAcentral. Lineage: Bacteria; Pseudomonadati; Pseudomonadota; Gammaproteobacteria; Enterobacterales; Enterobacteriaceae.
GUGUAGGCUGGUUUUCCAGGCAAAUCCGGAAAAUCAAGGCUGAGGCGUGAUGACGAGGCACUACGGUGCUGAAGCAACAAAUGCCCUGCUUCCAGGAAAAGCCUCUAAGCAUCAGGUAACAUCAAAUCGUACCCCAAACCGACACAGGUGGUCAGGUAGAGAAUACCAAGGCGCUUGAGAGAACUCGGGUGAAGGAACUAGGCAAAAUGGUGCCGUAACUUCGGGAGAAGGCACGCUGAUAUGUAGGUGAAGUCCCUCGCGGAUGGAGCUGAAAUCAGUCGAAGAUACCAGCUGGCUGCAACUGUUUAUUAAAAACACAGCACUGUGCAAACACGAAAGUGGACGUAUACGGUGUGACGCCUGCCCGGUGC